AUAUGCAAAUCCUGCGCGGAGAGGAGCCGGUGCAUUCCUGGCGCGAUCGCCUUUUAUUGAAGCUUUUAAUUAAAGGGGCCAGUUGGCGAGCCCCUGAAACAACCGCCAAAACCCCCAAAAGAGAAAAAUAAACGCUGUAGCCUUCGGGAACGGUUGUUUCGGCUCCUGUUCUGUGGGCGGCUGAGGACCGCCGGCUGCCCGGCUCGGAGAAGAACAGUUUGAAAACUGCAGUGCAGACAGCUGCGGGACUUUCACAAAGGUACACAGCUCGCACGUGGCAGACACAGAGUUCGAGCACCUCUCCUGGACCCUAGGUAGAAGCUCUUAGGAAAGGUCACCAAGGUUUUCAGGAUACGGACUCGAAGAGGUCAGAGAUUUUGCCCCCCUUACUCACCACAUGACAGGUACUCAGUAAAUAGUUUCAUAAAACACGUUGUUAAAGGCAGGAAGAAAACUGGGUUUUAUUAAGG
This is a long non-coding RNA of Mustela lutreola (European mink), 470 nucleotides long. RefSeq lists it as uncharacterized. Lineage: Eukaryota; Metazoa; Chordata; Mammalia; Carnivora; Mustelidae. The transcript is spliced from 4 exons. The record is from RefSeq and is a predicted model, not a curated record.